This 551-nucleotide ribosomal RNA is filed under the name Macrophthalmus milloti. Its description in RNAcentral is "partial 16S rRNA". It matches the Rfam family "Bacterial large subunit ribosomal RNA", at positions 1831 to 2625 of the family's 2925-position model. The record is from RNAcentral. Lineage: Eukaryota; Metazoa; Arthropoda; Malacostraca; Decapoda; Macrophthalmidae.
GUCUUUUUGAAGAUAAAAAAAGUCAAGCCUGCCCCCUGAAUUAAUUUUUAAGGGCCGCGGUAUUUUGACCGUGCGAAGGUAGCGUAAUCAUUAGUUUUUUAAUUGAAAUCUUGUAUGAAUGGUUAGACAAAAGAAAAUCUGUCUCUUUAUUAAAUAUUGAAUUUAACUUUUAAGUGAAAAGGCUUAAAUAAAUUAAAGGGACGAUAAGACCCUAUAAAGCUUAAUAUAAAAUACUAUUUAACUAAAUUUAUUUUAAUAAAAGUUUUAUAGUAUAGUUUAUUUUAUUGGGGUGAUAAGAGUAAAAUUUUUAUUAACUGCUUAAAAUAAUAAAACAUUUAUGGUUGAAAUAAAAAAAUAAAAGAUCCUAAUUAAAGAUUAAAAGUUUAAGUUACUUUAGGGAUAACAGCGUUAUUUUUUUUGAGAGCACAUAUCGAAAAAAGAGUUUGCGACCUCGAUGUUGAAUUAAAAUUUCUUUAUAGAUGUAGAAACUAUAAAAGUUGGUCUGUUCGACCUUUAAAAUUUUACAUGAUUUGAGUUCAAACCGGCGUGAG